This is a long non-coding RNA of Lolium rigidum, 1480 nucleotides long. RefSeq lists it as uncharacterized. The record is from RefSeq and is a predicted model, not a curated record. NCBI's taxonomy places the organism in Eukaryota, Viridiplantae, Streptophyta, Magnoliopsida, Poales, Poaceae. The transcript has 2 exons.
AGGCAAGUAACAAAAACUAUUCAGGCAAAAAAGAUAACAACAUGGGUGCUGCGUGCACCGCGCUGACUGCAUCUCAUGAACAGCUAUUUGUUUUUUUGUUCUGCUCUUCCAUCAUAGUUUGUACUCCCUUCGAUCCAAAAUAAGUGUCGGUGAUUUAGUACAAAUUGUAUACUAGAUUAUUACAACUAUUGUUCUCAGGCCCAGUCCACAUUUCAGUUGGGCAGGAGUAUAUGGCAUAUGAUAUAUUUGGGUCAUCCAUUCAUACGGUGAGGUAGAUUCAUAGGGACAGUGGUAGCAAACCAAACCUUUCCCACACAUCAAGCUCGAGAGAGUAUCAUCUUCACUUGGUUCUUCCCCUAGACCAUCUUCACUUAACUGCAACAUAACCAAUGUAAAAUUGGAAAAUAUGUUACAUGUCUCAUAGUAUUCUGCAGAGGCAAAAUUAAUAUGAUUUUUUUUUUCAUUAACUAAGAUGCUCAAGAUAGGUAGAUCUAAAUUUCAUAGAUGGAGUAGAGAGGCUUGGUAGUUUUAGAGGCGCCGUAAAUGACAUAAGUUCAGUAUGGUCUACGCUGGCUUUUGGUGAAAACAAAGUAAAAUUGGAAAGUAUCUAGGAAUACAAAGACAAAGAAACAUGGAAGAUUCUGUAUGAGCUCGACUAUUAUCGUCAUUGACCGCAAGUUAACCAUGAUGAGGCUAUGAAUCUAGAUCAAGCCCAGUUGAACGUUAUUUUUCACGCUUUCAUCGCCUCCUCCGGCUCCGCGACGGCAUCGCAGUCGUGACAGUGUCUCUUCUGAUGAUGGCAUGGUUCUUCUGAUCUUCAGAGUUCGGUUUUCGUGUUUCUUCUAAUGUGUAGCUGUUCUGAUCAUGAUGUGCUUUCGAUGUCUGCAUAUGCAGCUGGUGGACGAGUCUGCUGUCGGCGGGGCUCCGCUACCUCUGUGUUGUCUUCUCUGGCUCCACGUCGGUGUCGUGGGCUGGAGGACGUUACUUCUGUGUUGGCUGUUUCCGCCGGCGGGGUUAGUUCUUCUGUGAUUGCGCAUGACCGCCAGACUGCUUCUUUUCUUUUUGGCCUUGGGCGUGGCUGUCACAUUAUUGGCCAUGGUGGUGCUCAUCCGCUGUCUCUGCAUACUGCAUGGACUGUGCUUCGCUUCUCCUUGGAUGGGUUUGUGUCCGUGUCUUCGCCUCUUCAGGCUGAUGCGUGGAGGAGACCGGGAGAUUUGGUUGGCCAAGCGGCCUGUCCAUCCUGUACCUAAAAAUAUCAUUGACAGUAUUAGAGAUGGCAGUAUUUCGGUCCCCCCUGCUCCCGCUGGUUCAUCAUUGCAGCCAUUGUUUCCAGCCGGUUCUUCAGAUCUUGGUGCCUUCCAAAUUCCGGUUUCUUUGUUGUGUACUUCUUUUUAGGAGAUGUCCUGUAAAAUGAAGAAGUGUCAUUUAGUAGUAUGUAUCCUAAGGUUUAAAAAAUGAAUUAGUUGUGCGUUUCUUUUUA